CCUACGGGAGACAGCAGUGGGGGAUAUUGCACAAUGGGGGAAACCCUGAUGCAGCGACGCCGCGUGUGGGAAGACGGUCCUCUGGAUUGUAAACCACUGUCCCCAGGGACGAAGAUGACGGUACCUGGGGAGGAAGCUCCGGCUAACUACGUGCCAGCAGCCGCGGUAAUACGUAGGGAGCGAGCGUUGUCCGGAAUUACUGGGUGUAACGGGAGCGUAGGCGGGACUGCAAGUUGGGGGUCAAAUCUACCGGCUCAACCGGUAGCCGCACUCAAAACUGCAGUUCUUGAGUGAAGUAGAGGCAGGCGGAAUUCCUAGUGUAGCGGUGAAAUGCGUAGAUAUCAGGAGGAACACCAGUGGCGAAGGCAGCCUGCUGGGCUUUUACUGACGCUGAGGCUCGAAAGUGUGGGGAGCAAACAGGAUUAGAUACCCCAGUAGUC
RNAcentral lists this ribosomal RNA (440 nucleotides) under uncultured bacterium. Its description in RNAcentral is "partial 16S ribosomal RNA". It matches the Rfam family "Bacterial small subunit ribosomal RNA", at positions 338 to 795 of the family's 1533-position model. The record is from RNAcentral.